This 630-nucleotide ribosomal RNA is filed under the name Triticum aestivum (bread wheat). RNAcentral's name for it is "partial small subunit ribosomal RNA". The record is from RNAcentral. Lineage: Eukaryota; Viridiplantae; Streptophyta; Magnoliopsida; Poales; Poaceae.
AUGCAUUGGGUAUCUUGGAAAGAACUUGCUUCACCCAAGUGCAAUGGAGGUAUGGGUUUCCGUGACAUGCCACUCUCCAUUCUUGCAUUGCUCGGGAAACAUGGAUGGAGACUCAUGACCAAACCUAAUUCUUUGUGUGCCCGGGUCUUGAAGGGCCGCUACUUCCCUGACACUGAUUUCUUACAUGCAUCGGUGCCCAAGUCUGCCUCGGCGACAUGGCGUACGAUCAUAGCAGGAACAGAGGCACUUAAUGCCAGUCUGAUCAAGAGGGUUGGAGAUGGGAUUUCUAUCUCAGUCUGGACUAAAAAAUGGAUACCAGGAACUAUAUCGAUGACACCGUUGUCCAAACCACCGGUUACUAAUGUGAAACAUGUGUCAGAUCUUAUUGACACAGCAAAUUGGACAUGGAAUCAAAAACUGGUUCGAGAUACAUUCACUGCACCUGAUGCUGCAGCUAUUCUUAAUAUUCCUCUAUGGCAGAGAGGCGGUGAAGAUUUCUAUGCUUGGGCCUUUGAUCCCUUGGGCAACUACAUGUAUAGACGGUGUACCAUACUCUUUUUUUUCGAAAAGGAGGAAAACCCCCGGCCUCUGCAUCUGGUCGAUGCAUACGGCCACUUUAUUAAUUAUUAG